Molecule: long non-coding RNA, 1153 nt
Organism: Gadus chalcogrammus (walleye pollock)
Lineage: Eukaryota; Metazoa; Chordata; Actinopteri; Gadiformes; Gadidae
Exons: 3
Source: RefSeq, a predicted model, not a curated record
UGGCGGAAAAAGGGAAUAUGCAAGUUUCUGCCGGCGACCCACCGCCACCUCUCGCGGGAGUCUCGGGUCACGCGAAGCACCGAAUUGCUUUAAGGCACUACAAAGCCCCAAACACGGAACCGGCUCGAUAUAAGCACAAGUAGGACAAGGAUUAUACAAUAUCGGACAAACAGAAGAAGAGAAAAGGCUCACCGACAGAGGCCAGACAUGAGUAAACGUUGGGCGGGCUUCUCAGAAAUAGCGUGAACUGAAAGAAAAAGAAGACUGCAAAUCGGAUGCUGACUUGCCAUGGCCGUGUUGCUCUUGAAAUUUUACAAGCGUUGGCGGGUACAAGUGUCACGAAGAAAUCCAGAGAAUCCUCAAGAUGUUACACAAUAGCCACACAGCAUCUGCCUAUGACAACUCUCCUGCGGGGACUAGCGACAGCAUACCGCCUCGAUCUCUGAAUCCAUUUCCCUGUAAUUCCGUACACAAGUAAUGUAGGCCUACUUACUUGCAGAUAAAUGUACGAUUGUUGCGCAAAUUGUUCAAGCUAUCGUUAUGUAUUAUGUUGGCCAACACUCUUACACUGAUCGUUCUGUUCAACAACCAAAGAUAAAACAAUUUUAAUCUAGGAUAUAACAUCUCCCCGUCAACUUUAAAAAAGGAUGGGUUUAUUGUAACCCAUACACCCUUUCAAAAUGUAUAACCUUGUCUACUUUUUAUUAACAUCUACCUCAGACAUGGCUCCAUUGCCGGUGUUACACCGAAUUCUGCGACCCACCGAGAAGUGUGACCCCAGGGGGCGCUGUUGCACAUUAUCUGCAACAUGCACGUGUGCAUUAUAUCGAAAACAUAAAUAAAACAUAAGAUCUCCGGUGGGUCUUUCUUUUCUUGAUACUAACAUUAAUUCUAAACAGCAUUUUAAACAGUAGCCUAUAAUAGGAUAUGCUCAAAGGUAAUUCAUUGAAUUUAACCAUCACUGUAGCUUUUUAUGGGCAAAGAAGCAACGGUGAAGGACCGUAAUAAACGCCCUAGCCAUGUUAUUGGUCUGUAAAAUGCUAAUCAUAUCAAUGAAAUGUAUUUAUUAAGCACCUUAACUAAAAAGGUAAAUGGUUGGGGGGAGAUCUUAUGUUUUAUGUAUGUUUUUGUCAUGCCUGUCUACUCUUCAACC